RNAcentral lists this ribosomal RNA (397 nucleotides) under uncultured bacterium. RNAcentral's name for it is "bacterial SSU rRNA". It matches the Rfam family "Bacterial small subunit ribosomal RNA", at positions 362 to 776 of the family's 1533-position model. The record is from RNAcentral.
UAUUGCACAAUGGGGGAAACCCUGAUGCAGCGACGCCGCGUGAGCGAUGAAGUAUUUCGGUAUGUAAAGCUCUAUCAGCAGGGAAGAAAAUGACGGUACCUGACUGAGAAGCCCCGGCUAACUACGUGCCAGCAGCCGCGGUAAUACGUAGGGGGCAAGCGUUAUCCGGAUUUACUGGGUGUAAAGGGAGCGUAGACGGCCGUGCAAGCCAGAUGUGAAAGCCCGGGGCUCAACCCCAGGACUGCAUUGGAAACUGUGAGGCUAGAGUGUCGGAGAGGCAGGCGGAAUUCCUAGUGUAGCGGUGAAAUGCGUAGAUAUUAGGAGGAACACCAGUGGCGAAGGCGGCCUGCUGGACGAUGACUGACGCUGAGGCUCGAAAGCGUGGGGAGCAAACAGG